CCCUUAGAUGUUCUGGGCCGCACGCGCGCUACACUGAUGCAUUCAACGAGUUUCUUCCUGGUCCGAGAGGAAUGGGUAACCUUUUGAAAGUGCAUCGUGAUAGGGAUAGACUAUUGCAAUUAUUGGUCUUCAACGAGGAAUUCCUAGUAGACGUAGUUCAUCAGACUGCAUCGAUUACGUCCCUGCCCUUUGUACACACCGCCCGUCGCUCCUACCGAUUGAAUGCUCAGGUGGGCCAUUCGGACUUUCAUCAUGCUGGUUUCCAGUUUUGAUGAAGGAAAGUCUUGCGAACCUUAUCAUUUAGAGGAAGGAGAAGUCGUAACA
This 324-nucleotide ribosomal RNA is filed under the name uncultured eukaryote. RNAcentral's name for it is "partial 18S ribosomal RNA". It matches the Rfam family "Eukaryotic small subunit ribosomal RNA", at positions 1470 to 1796 of the family's 1831-position model. The record is from RNAcentral.